Molecule: long non-coding RNA, 479 nt
Filed under: Homo sapiens (human)
Lineage: Eukaryota; Metazoa; Chordata; Mammalia; Primates; Hominidae
Description: long non-coding RNA NONHSAT230210
Source: RNAcentral
AGUGCGUCUGCCGGGAGCAGAGCUCAGAGCAGGGCACUCUUGACUCGCGUGGGGAGGAAGCCAGGAAGGCGCGUGGAGGAGGGCACUCUUGACUCCCGAGCUACUCAACUGAGACAGGAGGGACAGCAGCCUCCACAGAGACGCAGCUGCAGUCCAGGCUGCGUCUGGGAAGAGCGAGGCUGUGGCUGCAGUGGGGCUGCUGAGUGGCUGGAGAUGAAACUGGAACCCUGGAUUGGGCUCAGAUUGUGACAAGGCUAAGGCCUUGUGUGGGGUUUCCAGUUUUAGUUCUUAGGAGAGGAGCUCCUGGAGGCGGCCUCGGCUGGAGCCUGGGCAGUUGUAAUGCAGCCCUCAGUAGCCAUGAGCUUCUGCUGGGUCUCCAAGGGCUCAGCCUAAAGGGAAAAGAUGGCAGCUGAUGGUCAGGGGCCAGGGUUCCAGUGUUGCAAGGUCCCUGAGAUGGUCGGCCAUGUGCAGAUGAGGGA